AUGCUUUCCACAUGACUUUGGUUAACCAAAUUAAAAAGACAAAAAAAAAUCAAGUAAUCAUUCCCGAAUGUUAAAUACCACCAUAGAAAUGAAUGACACAAACUCAUCAUUUGUUAAGCUGAACAUCCAACAAGCGAACCCUUUAUUCGUCCAAAUUCAACCCAGAAGCAUGGAUGCAGGGUUUUAUGGUUGAAGUCAUGUAGAUAGGUACUUGAUACUUGAUAGCAGAACAGUAUAAGUGUUGGUAAAUAUUCACAUUGUUGAGGAAACAGGAAAAUUGACUUGAGAUGCCCAAUGCCCCUCACCUAAAAUUGAGGAAAUAUCGAUCUGGGGAACGCCAUUCACAAUUCUAAACCAUUUGUGCCUCUUUCCACAUAGUGAAUUAUGCUAAUUAAUGAAAUAAACCAAGAAAAGCAAGCAUUAAACAGAAUCUAGUGAGAAAUUAUUGUAGACGAGCAAGAGAUUAC
Molecule: unclassified non-coding RNA, 467 nt
Filed under: Hevea brasiliensis (rubber tree)
Lineage: Eukaryota; Viridiplantae; Streptophyta; Magnoliopsida; Malpighiales; Euphorbiaceae
Source: RNAcentral